This is a long non-coding RNA of Homo sapiens (human), 1213 nucleotides long. Ensembl annotates it as long intergenic non-protein coding RNA 592. The record is from Ensembl. NCBI's taxonomy places the organism in Eukaryota, Metazoa, Chordata, Mammalia, Primates, Hominidae.
AGAGGCCCCAGGGACCUGUAGGCAGGUGGAGAGGGGAUGGGGGAGGUCUCAGGUCCUCUUGCUCACCCAUCAGCUGUGUAGUGUCUGAAGUGAUUAAGGAGCUUGGGGAGAGCCCUGAAUGGGAAGAAAUGGGUUCCAUGUGCAGCAAGCCAGGAGAGAUUUAGGCAACGAGAACCUCCAGUUCUGUCUUAGGGUUCCCAGCUUUCUCCUUGUCCUGAGGGAGCCGCUGAGCCUGUGGGAGAUGAGGGGUGCCCAUUCCCCAGUGCUUCUCACCCUCCCCCACCUGCCCUCCUGGGGUACCUUUGUCUGCCACUUGCAUCCUAUUGGAAGCUGUCCCCAAGUGCGUGUUAGGCAGGUGGCAGGUGCUGGAGCAGAGUGCACCACCCUCCGGCGAUCACUGUGAGUUGGGGUAAGAGUGGGGUGUUCCUGCCAGCCCCAGGAGAGGGGAAAGCAAGCCCCCGUCCACCCUUGUGGGUCUCUGCUCCUGGAAAAGGUGCUCUAGCAGGCUCAUCUGUGUGAGUCACUGUCUUCCAUGUGGGGGGCUGUGCUGAAGAAGCCUUGGUGAUAUGGGUGCAAAUGCCAAAAACAUGGGGUUUCAUUCUGUCACCAAGGCUGGAGUGCAGUGGCGUGAUCUUGGUUCACUGCAACCUCUCCCUCCCGGACUCAAGCCAUCCCCCUGCCUCUGUCUCCUGAGUAGCUGGAAUUAUAGAUGUACACCACCACACCUGACUAGUUUUUUAAUUUUUUGUGAAGACGGAGUUUUGCAGUGUUGCCUGGGCUGGUCUCAACUCCUGGGCUCAAGAAAUCCACCUGCCUCUGCCUCCCAAAGUGCUGGGAUUACAGAUAAUGCUGGAAGCCAAGCUUGCACAUUCUAGGCAGCCAUUUGGAAGAUUCUUCUCUGCGCAUGACCAGCUGAAAAGGAAAAACCCCGAAACAUUGGCACUGUGAUUUCUCCAUGUGAACAGUUUAGUUCGCCGAGGUGGACAUGCCUCAUUCAUGCUUAUGGAGUGACCGACCAGCCUUUAGUGACACCCCCUGAAAUGUGAGUCAUCCAUGGGUCACUAGUCAUUGGAGAAGAGCCCCUUAUACAAAACUUGGAGCUCAGACCACAAACAACAACAACAAUCCAAAAAAUAAAAAAAUGAAAAAUUAGGAGCAGAGACUAAAUGGAAAGAUGGAAAUAUUAAAAUAAAAAUAUUAUUUUAAAAAUUAA